RNAcentral lists this ribosomal RNA (459 nucleotides) under uncultured bacterium. RNAcentral's name for it is "partial 16S ribosomal RNA". It matches the Rfam family "Bacterial small subunit ribosomal RNA", at positions 338 to 795 of the family's 1533-position model. The record is from RNAcentral.
CCUACGGGGGGCAGCAGUGAGGAAUAUUGGUCAAUGGACGAGAGGCUGAACCAGCCAAGUCGCGUGAGGGAAGACGGCCCUACGGGUUGUAAACCUCUUUUGUCGGGGAGCAAACCGAAACACGCGUGGUUGAUUGAGAGUAUCCGAAGAAAAAGCAUCGGCUAACUCCGUGCCAGCAGCCGCGGUAAUACGGAGGAUGCGAGCGUUAUCCGGAUUUAUUGGGUUUAAAGGGUGCGAAGGCGGAGGUACAAGUGAGCGGUAAAAUUGCGGGGCUCAACCCCGUACUGCCGUUGAAACUGGUUCCCUUGAGUGCGCGAGAAGUAUGCGGAAUGCGUGGUGUAGCGGUGAAAUGCAUAGAUAUCACGCAGAACUCCGAUUGCGAAGGCAGCAUACCGGCGCGCAACUGACGCUGAGGCACGAAAGCGUGGGGAUCGAACAGGAUUAGAUACCCUAGUAGUC